This 207-nucleotide ribosomal RNA is filed under the name uncultured bacterium. RNAcentral's name for it is "partial 16S ribosomal RNA". It matches the Rfam family "Bacterial small subunit ribosomal RNA", at positions 568 to 774 of the family's 1533-position model. The record is from RNAcentral.
CACGCAGGCGAUCUUGCCAGUCAGGGGUGAAAGCCCGGGGCUCAACCCCGGAACUGCCUCUGAUACUGCAAGACUAGAGACUAGGAGAGGGUGGUGGAAUUCCCAGUGUAGAGGUGAAAUUCGUAGAUAUUGGGAGGAACACCAGAGGCGAAGGCGGCCACCUGGACUAGAUCUGACGCUCAGGUGCGAAAGCGUGGGGAGCAAACA